This 396-nucleotide ribosomal RNA is filed under the name uncultured bacterium. RNAcentral's name for it is "partial 16S ribosomal RNA". It matches the Rfam family "Bacterial small subunit ribosomal RNA", at positions 523 to 918 of the family's 1533-position model. The record is from RNAcentral.
AUACGUAGGUGGCAAGCGUUGUCCGGAAUUAUUGGGCGUAAAGCGCAUGUAGGCGGUGCCUUAAGUCUGUCGUGAAACUGCGGGGCCUAACCCCGUAUGGCGAUGGAAACUGGGGCACUUGAGUGCAGGAGAGGAAAGGGGAACUCCCAGUGUAGCGGUGAAAUGCGUAGAUAUUGGGAAGAACCCCGGUGGCGAAGGCGCCUGUCUGGACGGGGACUGACGCUGAGGUGCGAAAGCAAGGGGAGCGAACGGGAUGAGAUACCCCGGUAGUCCUGGCCGUAAACGAUGGUUACUAGGGGUGGGAGGUAUCGACCCCCUCCGUGCCGGAGUUAACGCAAUAAGUACCCCGCCUGGGGAGUACGGCCGCAAGGCUUAAACUCAAAGGAAUUGACGGGG